This 263-nucleotide ribosomal RNA is filed under the name uncultured archaeon. Its description in RNAcentral is "partial 16S ribosomal RNA". It matches the Rfam family "Archaeal small subunit ribosomal RNA", at positions 748 to 1009 of the family's 1478-position model. The record is from RNAcentral.
UAGGCGUAAAUGAUGCGAGUUAAGUGUGGGGGCAUCUACGAGAUGGCCCUGUGCUGUAGGGUAGCCGUUAAACUCGCUGCCUGGGGAGUACGGUCGCAAGGCUGAAACUUAAAGGAAUUGGCGGGGGGAGCACCACAAGAGGUGGAGGCUGCGGUUCAAUUGGACUCAACGCCGGAAAAACUCAUCGGGAGCGACAGCAGUAUGAUUGCCAGGUUGAUGACCUUGCUUGACAAGCUGAGAGGUGGUGCAUGGCGUAGUCGUGU